GGGUCAAUGCAGAGUCUGACGGAGCACGCCGCGUGAGUGAUGAAGGUUUUCGGAUCGUAAAGCUCUGUUGUUAGGGAAGAACAAGUGCCGUUCAAAUAGGGCGGCACCUUGACGGUACCUAACCAGAAAGCCACGGCUAACUACGUGCCAGCAGCCGCGGUAAUACGUAGGUGGCAAGCGUUGUCCGGAAUUAUUGGGCGUAAAGGGCUCGCAGGCGGUUUCUUAAGUCUGAUGUGAAAGCCCCCGGCUCAACCGGGGAGGGUCAUUGGAAACUGGGGAACUUGAGUGCAGAAGAGGAGAGUGGAAUUCCACGUGUAGCGGUGAAAUGCGUAGAGAUGUGGAGGAACACCAGUGGCGAAGGCGACUCUCUGGUCUGUAACUGACGCUGAGGAGCGAAAGCGUGGGGAGCGAACAGGAUUAGAUACCCUGGUAGUCCACGCCGUAAACGAUGAGUGCUAAGUGUUAGGGGGUUUCCGCCCCUUAGUGCUGCAGCUAACGCAUUAAGCACUCCGCCUGGGGAGUACGGUCGCAAGACUGAAACUCAAAUGAUUUUGGACGGGG
This 561-nucleotide ribosomal RNA is filed under the name Bacillus sp. (in: firmicutes). RNAcentral's name for it is "bacterial SSU rRNA". It matches the Rfam family "Bacterial small subunit ribosomal RNA", at positions 373 to 918 of the family's 1533-position model. Lineage: Bacteria; Bacillati; Bacillota; Bacilli; Caryophanales; Bacillaceae. The record is from RNAcentral.